Long non-coding RNA from Solea senegalensis (Senegalese sole), 458 nucleotides. RefSeq lists it as uncharacterized. The transcript is spliced from 3 exons. The record is from RefSeq and is a predicted model, not a curated record. NCBI's taxonomy places the organism in Eukaryota, Metazoa, Chordata, Actinopteri, Pleuronectiformes, Soleidae.
CACCUGUCCCGAUGUGUAAUACCUGCUUCUAAAUGUCUCAGUUUCGUGUUUUCCUUCUGUGCCACUUUGUCCUCAAGUUUCUUUAGCAUACUAGCAUAGUGUUUCUUUGGAGUUAUGUAGAUGUAUUAUUUAUACCUAUCUAUCUAUAUCUAUUUUUUUUUAACCUUACGUUUACGUUAGCCUUCGUGUUUUGUACGUCUGACAGAUUGGGCAAGGAUUAAUGCUGUUACUGUGCACGACUGUGAAUUGUAUCCGUCUUUCACCCAACGUACAAUGGUUCCUACAUACUCGACAUCUUAUCCACGCUACAGGGUCAAACUACUGCUGCCAUCCGUCCCAGAGGAAUCACACCACCACAAUCAAUGGAAUUCUUCAUAACUGAUAUGGUUAAAAACAGACGACCCCCUCAUGACCAGAUUAGACGCUUAUUGGCCCCCAGGUCAUUUGACUUUGACGCC